UACGAAGGGUGCAAGCGUUAAUCGGAAUUACUGGGCGUAAAGCGCGCGUAGGUGGUUCAGUAAGUUGGAAGUGAAAUCCCCGGGCUCAACCCGGGAACUGCAUCCAAAACUGCUGAGCUAGAGUACGGUAGAGGGUGGUGGAAUUUCCUGUGUAGCGGUGAAAUGCGUAGAUAUAGGAAGGAACACCAGUGGCGAAGGCGACCACCUGGACUGAUACUGACACUGAGGUGCGAAAGCGUGGGGAGCAAACAGG
This 253-nucleotide ribosomal RNA is filed under the name uncultured bacterium. RNAcentral's name for it is "partial 16S ribosomal RNA". It matches the Rfam family "Bacterial small subunit ribosomal RNA", at positions 524 to 776 of the family's 1533-position model. The record is from RNAcentral.